RNAcentral lists this long non-coding RNA (1101 nucleotides) under Sus scrofa (pig). RNAcentral's name for it is "lncRNA (ENSSSCG00030041442.1, ENSSSCG00060008333.1)". Lineage: Eukaryota; Metazoa; Chordata; Mammalia; Artiodactyla; Suidae. The record is from RNAcentral.
GCUGACCCGUUAAAUGAGCAAUCCUGUUAAGUGUGUUAAUCAGCAAGGCGCCAGUGAGCCAAGCAGAACGCUCUGGGAGAUACCUGGCGUGGAAACGGGUCUCUUCAUCCGCAGCAAUUCAAACUCUGUCAGUUCUUGAGUCGUAGUCCCUCUCUCCUAUCACUCUUAAAGAGAGGAGCUCCAGAGCUGCGUGACCUUGGAGACGCAUGUGGUCAGGAGCGCCUCAGGUGCGAGGCAUCAACAAUCAUUGUCUGGGUUCUAUCUCCGAGCGUAUCCUGGGGUCCCAGCUCUCCCGUAUGAUUGGCGGGACUGGAGAACCCUGAGACUUAAGGAUCUCUAAUCAGGGAGGGGUGGAAAAGAGGAGUUCUCUCUGGUACCAGGAAGCUCUUACUAUGAAUAUAAUCAGGUGGCUUGAAUCUUCAAUAACAUCAAGUUCUGGCCUUUGGGGGAGCCAAGCAGAUGAACUCCUGGCUGAACUAGAUACCUGUUUAAUGGUGUAAAUGGGGACCAGGAUAGCUGAAAAACUUUGCUUCGUGGCUUUCCCCGCCUUCACUGGCCCAGUUCAGCGCUAGCCAACCGAGUACCCGGCCUACUCCGGUACGGACGCUAGACGGCGCUGCUGGGACACGCUUUCCUUCUCCCGGAAAGCGCCUUUGGGCAUCCUCUUUGUCGCCCGGGAAGCUCGAGCCCGCGCUCUCUGGAACCCAGCUCUCCAUCUCGUCCUGGACCGAGGCCCAUCGCCCCAGACAUGGAACUGCACGCUUGAGCCCUGCUGGACGUCCCCGGCUGUUUUGCAAGAAGACUCGGACAGGUAAAGCCCAUUCUCAAAAUCGAACAGCUAGCUGGCUGAUGAGGGCCAGGGAAUAACGUACUGGGCUCUCAGGUGACAGCAGGGAGCAGGCAGGCAGGCUGUGGCCAAAGGGAGCUCUGCCUCUCUUGCAUCUGGUCCCCGCGCCAGGAAAUGCUGCCAGUUUCCUUUCCCGGCUUCAGCUCUCCCUGAAAGUUUAGGGACUAGAGCUCCCAAGGUCAGGGGCUCCUGGCCGCGCAGGAGGAGCGCGCGCCCGCGGUGCCAGGUGCCUGUGAGCCUGUGAGCUGCUGGAU